RNAcentral lists this small nuclear RNA (347 nucleotides) under Jaculus jaculus (lesser Egyptian jerboa). Its description in RNAcentral is "7SK RNA (ENSJJAG00000003432.1)". It matches the Rfam family "7SK RNA". From Rfam's summary of the family: 7SK was discovered as an abundant small nuclear RNA in the mid-70s but a possible function has only recently been suggested. Two independent studies have found that 7SK RNA binds the CDK9/cyclin T complex (known as elongation factor P-TEFb). Lineage: Eukaryota; Metazoa; Chordata; Mammalia; Rodentia; Dipodidae. The record is from Rfam by way of RNAcentral.
GGAUGUGAGGGUGACCUGGCUGCAACAUCUGUCACCCCAUUGAUCACCAGCAUUGAUUCGGUUGAUCUGGCUGGCUGGGUGGGUGUCCCCUUCCUCCCUCGCCACUCCAUGUGCGUCCCUCCCAAAGCUGCACACUUGGUCAAAGAGGACGACCUUCUCUGAAUAGAGGAGGACUGGUCAUUCAUUGGUCAAGGGUAUAUGACUAGCUGCAUUCCUCUGCUAGGACCUCCAACCCAGCGCACAAGAAUUACUUUUUUUGUUUUUUGAGGUAGGGUCUUGCUGUAGCCUAGGCUGACCUGGAAUUAGUCUCAUCCUGGCCUUGAACUCACAGUGAUCUUCCUACCUCA